GGGGCUCGCUAAUUUAAUUGCCAGCUCUGGAGCGUGCUUGCUGAUGGGCGGCGUACACAGGCCAGAACCAAUCCGUACAGGUGUAUAGUACCGAUAAUGGUACGGUUAUAAUAACAGAUGUGGUGCGCUCGCAUGAUCGCGGAUAGCUCGCACACGUCGUCACGUCUGCGUGAGGAAUAACAUCUUGCAGUAACAAAAAAUAUUUAAAAAACAAACAAGACUCUUAAAAAAAAAAACAACUAUUAAUCGUGAAAAAUACAAAAAGUGGCAAAAAAUCCAGAAAGUGAUAAAAAGUUAAGUUUUUUAUCUUUAUCGUGUGAAUCCAACGGUACGCUCGUUUUCGUAUAAAUGAGAGAGACAAACACGCGGCGAAGUUUUCGCCCAGGCGAGUUUUAGGAGCGCGGAGAACGAGCAGCGAGAAUGGCCAGCUUCAUGGACGCAUUCAUUCUACGGAAUAUCGCAUUCGCAAUGCUAAGUGGCGCUUUAAUGAAAUCGCCGCAGCACGCAACCACGGGUGGUAGCACGCUUUACUAUUAUUUAAUUGCGCGCCGCUAUUAGCGCACGAUUUUUAGUCUGUGUACUUAAUUCGCUUAACGACGCCUCCGAGUUGCUACCUGAAACAAAACGAGCCUCGCGUGGGACUCUAUUUGAUCGUGAGAGGACUUCGCCCGGGUUUCUGAUUGCCUGUUUCAUUAUGGCUCCCUGUUUGAUGCACGUUAAUGUCUUAUAAGUAUGUGAACACUUCUAAAUUAUUUCAGAUUCUGGUAUCGAUUUUUUGAAUAAUGAAUAUUUUGCAACUUCUACAUACAUUUGAAGAUUGGUUUCACAUUUUAGCAAUAGAAUUAAGGUAUAUAUGUCUCACUACUGUUAGUGAAAUCUCCAUAUGUUUUCUAUAACACACAUAAUACAUUCGAAAAAGUUACGUAAGUAUUAAAAUACUUUUCCGAAUCAUUAUAAAUUAGGUGAUUACAAGUCUGUUCAAUAUUGCGAUGUUAACGGGAUUGAGUUAUAUGUCUCUAGCAACAUUCCAAAACUUCAUAGUCGGCUCUCCUUUACGGAUAAACAUGGAUCUUAAGUGAUGUAUUUCUUGUCUUAGUUUAAAUUUAGCAGAGUACCGACCGAAGAUAAAGAAUCAACAUUAAAGAAGCAUUUUUCAACCACAACAUUGAACAUACACCAGGAACAUCAACAUUUCGAUCGGAUUACACCAAAUUUAAUUGUACAGACUCAUGGACGACCACGCGACGUUAUUUGCAUAAAAAGAGUGUUGAAUAGCGGAUGUCGUUUCAAAAGAAGAACGUAGGAAACUACACGAAAGAGGAUUCGACCCUGUUUUCAAGUCGCUUUUGUGCUUCGAUAAUUACCUUGAUAAUCUGAACACGUCUGCCACAGUGACAAUGACAAUUUUCGUCUGACAUACUUUUCACGAUAAUUGAAACCUAGUAAUUUGUAGCUACUUAAGAUCAAACCACCAGUCAUCCACCAGAAUCGUUAACUGUUCUCGAAAUAUAUAACUUGGAUCUGA
Long non-coding RNA from Bombus terrestris (buff-tailed bumblebee), 1525 nucleotides. RefSeq lists it as uncharacterized. The transcript has 2 exons. NCBI's taxonomy places the organism in Eukaryota, Metazoa, Arthropoda, Insecta, Hymenoptera, Apidae. The record is from RefSeq and is a predicted model, not a curated record.